GUGGUCGUUUCGGCAGCACAUUCACUAAAACUGGAACGAGACGGGGAAGAUUAGCAUGGCCCCCGCACAAGGAUGACACGCAAGUUCGUGAAGCGUUUCGUAUUUUA
Molecule: small nuclear RNA, 107 nt
Filed under: Aotus nancymaae (Ma's night monkey)
Lineage: Eukaryota; Metazoa; Chordata; Mammalia; Primates; Aotidae
Source: RNAcentral